GAGCUGGCGAUGACUUACUCUCACAUGGGUAAUCCCACACUACCAUCAGCGCUAAGAGGUUUCACUUCUGAGUUCGGGAAGGGAUCAGGUGGUUCACUCUUGCUAUGGUCGCCA
RNAcentral lists this ribosomal RNA (114 nucleotides) under Acinetobacter baumannii AB210. The record is from RNAcentral. Lineage: Bacteria; Pseudomonadati; Pseudomonadota; Gammaproteobacteria; Moraxellales; Moraxellaceae.